AAACUUUCAACAACGGAUCUCUUGGUUCUGGCAUCGAUGAAGAACGCAGCGAAAUGCGAUAAGUAAUGUGAAUUGCAGAAUUCAGUGAAUCAUCGAAUCUUUGAACGCACAUUGCGCCCCUCGGUAUUCCGGGGGGCAUGCCUGUUCGAGCGUCAUUACA
This 160-nucleotide ribosomal RNA is filed under the name Ochrolechia balcanica. RNAcentral's name for it is "5.8S ribosomal RNA". It matches the Rfam family "5.8S ribosomal RNA". Rfam says of the family: 5.8S ribosomal RNA (5.8S rRNA) is a component of the large subunit of the eukaryotic ribosome. It is transcribed by RNA polymerase I as part of the 45S precursor that also contains 18S and 28S rRNA. Functionally, it is thought that 5.8S rRNA may be involved in ribosome translocation. The record is from RNAcentral. Lineage: Eukaryota; Fungi; Ascomycota; Lecanoromycetes; Pertusariales; Ochrolechiaceae. RNAcentral also lists the same sequence under 1 other name.